RNAcentral lists this ribosomal RNA (1288 nucleotides) under Opisthadena dimidia. RNAcentral's name for it is "partial large subunit ribosomal RNA". It matches the Rfam family "Eukaryotic large subunit ribosomal RNA", at positions 107 to 985 of the family's 3401-position model. Lineage: Eukaryota; Metazoa; Platyhelminthes; Trematoda; Azygiida; Bunocotylidae. The record is from RNAcentral.
GCCCAGCACCGAAGCCUGUGGUUGUUUGAUCACUAGGCAAUGUGGUGUUUAGGUUGGUUCUGCGGAGUCAUUGCUCUACUCUAAGUCCAGUUAUGAAUACGGUAUAUGGACAUGGCCCAUAGAGGGUGAAAGGCCCGUAUGAGUAGAGACCUCGGCUUUGGCUUCCUGAACUUACCUUGGAGUCGGGUUGUUUGAGAAUGCAGCCCAAAGUGGGUGGUAAACUCCAUCCAAGGCUCAAUACUGGCACGAGUCCGAUAGCGAACAAGUACUGUGAAGGAAAGUUGAAAAGUACUCUGAAGAGAGAGUCAAAAGUACGUGAAACCGCUCAGAGGUAAACGGGUAGAGUUGAACUGCAAUCCUGUGAGAUUCAGCUAAUGAGUAUGGCUUGAGCUUGGCAUAUUGAAUUCGGCUGAAAGGUCUGCUUAGCUGCAGGUUGCUGUCGUUAUCGGCAGUGAUACGAGCUGCACUUGUCAAGUGUUGCGUGCCUUUUUGACCGGAGGUCUGCUCGUUAGUGCACUUCUUGCAGGUGUUCACCACGACCGGCACUGCUGUCUGUCUGCUGUGGCUAAACUUGUUGGACUCGGCUCCUUGUGGGCCUUGUUUGACUGGGAUGGCAGGUAGCUUGUUUCAGCUUUCGGGUUGAGCAAGUGUAAUUCAGCUGGUUGCAGCGGAGCUGUGCAGUGUGUCGGAGAUGGCGGCUGUAGGUGGUGUGUAUGCAGGUUUUGCUGCCUGAGUCGGAUUUGGUUGCCGUGUUAGUCUGUGUUAAAUCAGACCCGGUGAUGAUUCGGCUUUGUGUGGUAGGCUGUUUUGCAUGCUGCCGUUUAAACAAUAAGCCUAUAGUCUGUGGUGUAGUGGUAAGCUCUCUACCCGACCCGUCUUGAAACACGGACCAAGGAGUUUAACAUGUGCGCGAGUCAAUGGGCGUAACGAAACCCUAAGGCGUAAUGAAAGUGAAGGUUCGGCUUGUCCGAGCUAAGGUGAGAUCCGGUCGUUUCCUUUGCAAGGCAUGUCCAAGCAUUCGAGCGGCAGGCGCAUCACCGGCCCGUCCCAUGGUGUAGUCAUGACUCCUUGCUGGGUUGUGCAUCACCGGGGUGGAGCAUGAGCGUACAUGUUGAGACCCGAAAGAUGGUGAACUAUACUUGUGCAGGUUGAAGCCAGAGGAAACUCUGGUGGAGGACCGCAGCGAUUCUGACGUGCAAAUCGAUCGUCAGACAUGAGUAUAGGGGCGAAAGACUAAUCGAACCAUCUAGUAGCUGGUUCCCUCCGAAGUUUCCCACAGGAUAGCUGA